This 333-nucleotide unclassified non-coding RNA is filed under the name uncultured fungus. RNAcentral's name for it is "partial contains small subunit ribosomal RNA, internal transcribed spacer 1, and 5.8S ribosomal RNA". The stretch from base 1 to 73 matches the Rfam family "Eukaryotic small subunit ribosomal RNA", at positions 1759 to 1831 of the family's 1831-position model. The record is from RNAcentral. Lineage: Eukaryota; Fungi.
GCAAACUUGGUCAUUUAGAGGAAGUAAAAGUCGUAACAAGGUUUCCGUAGGUGAACCUGCGGAAGGAUCAUUAUUGAAUACUUGAAGUCAGUUGAGCUGGUCCUUAAUAGGACAUGUGCUUGCUGCUUCUAUUCAUACUAUCCACCUGUGCACUUAUUGUAGAGCUUUGAAGAGGGUCUUAGUUAACUCUGGGACUAGUAUUCAAGUUCUAUGUUUUUAUACAAACUCUAUGAAUGUCUCGAAUGUCUUUUAUUGGGACUUAACUGGCCCUUUAAACUUUAUACAACUUUCAGCAACGGAUCUCUUGGCUCUCGCAUCGAUGAAGAACGCAGC